AUAAACAAAUUAUAUAUAAAUAAACCUGACCACUGAAUUUUUAGAGAGUGCUUAUGCCUUCUUGGUUUUCCCAUUAAUUGUCCAUUGCUCCAGAUUAGUGAGCCUGCAGACAGAAGAGAGAGUAUUAUCUAACUAUACAGGUAAUCCUUGAUCUUCAACCACUUCAUUUACUGACCAUUCAAAGCAGUGGUGGGAUUCAAAAAUGUUUACUACCGGUUCUGUGGGCGUGGCAUGGGUUGGUGGGCGUGAGUUGGUGGGCGUGGCAAGGGAAGGAUAUUGUAAAAUCUCCAUUCCUUCCCCACUCCAGGGGAAGGUUACUGCAAAAUCCCCAUUUCCUGCCAAUCCUCAUUUCCUGCCAAUCAGGAGGCAGAGAAUAGAUGGGGGCUGGGCCAAUCAGAGGUGGUAUUUACCGGUUCUCCAAACUACUCAAAAUUUCCGCUACCGAUUCUCCAGAACUGGUCAGAGCCUGCUGAAUACCACCUCUGAUUCAAAGUUACAGUCACUCUGAAAAAAGCGACAUACAAUUGAUACUCAUACUUAUGACUAAACAGCAUCCCCCAUGUAAUCAAAAUUCAGGACCUUGGCAACUGGCAUAUAUUUAUAAUGGUUGUAAUGUCACCAUUUGCGACCUUCCCAGCUGACUUCCAAAAUCCCAGCAAAAUCUAUGGAGUAAGCCAGAUUAACUUAAUUUACUUAACUGCAGUGAUUCAGUUAAUAUCUGUAUUCUUAAAUGAAGAGUUACAUCUACAAAGUGAAAAUAAUAUCUAGUGCUUGGUGUCAAUGUUGAACACAUAUCGGUUCUAAUUCCUUGAAAUUAAGUCCACUCUGCAAAUCAUAGGAAUGUUUUAAGAGAUAUACUGUUACUCAGACUUCUAUACAGAUGCACUUGAAGAGAUAUGAGAUCUCUGGCAGUUGAAUAAACAAUAUCAUUAUUAAGGAGGAAAAUAGUAAAUUUUUCCACAGUAUUCUAGCAAAGUAGCAAAAUCCAAAUAUAGACUCCUAGAGUUGAAUGAGUUCCUGAAUCCAAUCCCAUUCUCAGGGUUGGAAUCAAAAUUAAAGCAACCCUGAACUGAUUCUAUACCCUCAUCUUAAAUUUCAUCUGAGAUAGAUGGAAGCAAUUCAGAGCCUUCUGUUUUAAAUGACAUCCUCCCAUUAUGUUUUUCAACUAUGCUAUCAUAUCUCUCUUUGUUUCAGUCUUUUCAAGGCUAAGUAUAUCCAGGGCAGAGUCCAUAAGAAUCUACCUUUUAGUCCUAGCCCAAUUGAUUAACUGAUAGUCCUUGAUUUAUGACCACAAUUGAGCCCAAACUUUCCAUUGCUAGGCAAGAUAGUUGUUAAGAGAGUUUUGCCCCAUUUCUAGUUUUGCCCAACCUUUCUAGCCACAGAGGUUAAGUGAAUCAUUGCAGUUUUCCAAGUUAGUAACAUGAUUAUUAAGUGAAUCUGGGUUCCCUAUUGUCUUUGCUUGUCAGAAGGUUGCAAAAGGUAAUCACAUGACCCUGUGACACUGCAACCAUCAUAAAUAUGUCAGUUGCCAAGUGUCUGAAUUUUGAUCGUGUUAACUAUGAGCAUGCUUCAACCGUCGUUAUGUGUAAAAAGUGGUCAAAAGUUACUUUUUUCAUUGUAAAUUUGAAUGGUCACUAAAUGAAUGAUUAUAAGUUGAGAACUACGUGUAAGGCUGUAAAUUUAAGGAUACUUUCUAGGUAGAUCUGUGGAUAGUGAUCCUCUUAAAGCUUAUUUGUGGAAUGUACUAUACUUUUGAAGAAAUGUACACACAAGUCUGAGCAGGAACUGGGGAAAUGAUGAAAGGAUUGCAUCUGUCUAUAUUUUUUGUAAUGAGAGACAGAUCCUUGAUUAAUCUUCAGAAUGUUGGCACCUGGUGUCUUAUGAGCAUCAGAAUUAAAUGGAGAAAUUCAAGAAAGAAACAAGACGUUCUUAGCUGACAAGCUUGGGGAAAGAGCUGCCAGUUUAGAAGUACCAGCCAAGAAAACGAAGAAUUUAUUUCUGAAAAAUAAUUGCUUUAUAUCUAUUAAGGCAAGAGUGGAUAGAUGUUCACUACAUAUUGAAUACACUCAUCAAUCAAACCUGUGAAGGCUUUUUAUUACAAAAAACAAAAACAAUCCGCCUAAGAAUUUCUUGAAAUAUAUUCCAAAAGACAUGGCCAAAAAAAGAGCCUUGGUGGCACAAUGGUUAGAAUGCAGUACAGGUAGUCCUCAACAUAUGACAAUUGAACCCAAAAUUUAUGUUGCUAAAUAAGAAAUUUGUUAAGUGAGUUUUGCCACAUUUUACAACUUUUAUUGCCACCUUUGUUAAAUGAAUCACUGCAAUUGUUAAAUUAGUAGCACGAUUGUUAAGUGAAUCUGGCUUCCCCAUUGACUUUGCUUGUCAGGAAAUCAUAAAAGGGGAUCACACUGUGACAGUCAUAAAUGUGAGUCAGUGGUCAAGUAUCUGAAUGUAAAUCACAUGACUAUAGGGAUGCUGAAACAGUCAUAAGUGCGAAAAAUGGUCCUAACUCACUUUUUUUCAGUGUCAUUGUAACUUCAAACGGUCACUAAAUGAACUGUUGUAAGUCGAGGACUAUCUGUAUUGCAGGCUAAUUCUGCCCACUGCCAGAAGUUCGAUCCUGAUGGGGCUCAAAGUUGAUUCAGCCUUCCAUCCUUCCGAGCAUUACAGAUUUCUCCAGAGAGCCAGGUGUUUUGCACACAAUGCAGGCAGCCUAUAAGAAUGUUCAACAGACCAAAGCUCUCCACUUCCUCCUAUAAUCACUUUGAUGAACAAAUAUAAUCACAAUCAGUUAAAUUAGAAUACAGUGAAUCAAGCUGAAGAAAUGUUUUUCAUCAAAAGGGAUCACAAGCUAUUUCAUCCUGGGUUAAAAUAUGAUGUAGCAGUAUUUGUCCAUGAUCAAUUUCUAGUGUUGCCUCUGUUUCUAAUGUUUAAGUAUUUCUUUUUUCAAGAAAAUAUGUAAAGGACAAUUUUAUGGGAAGAUAGAGAAUAAACCCAAGAGAUAUCAGAGAGAAGAAAGGAUGUACUUAAAAAGAGUCUAGUGUGACAGUACAAUUAUUGAAAUAAUUAUCAGUGAGGAAACAUACAUUUUAAAAAGCCAUAUUGUAGAAAAUGUAUGCUUAUAUAUAAAAUAGUGUAGAAAGUUAGCACACACCCCUCUCCUACAAAAAUGAAAUAUUAUAAAAAAUAUUAAAAAGGCAGAAUAUUGUAUUUUCCCUAAAGGAGAAACAUGUUCCUAAAGACAUAAACUCAGAGCCUCAGUUCCCUGCCCCCCCCCCCCCAAUAUUUUGGUGCCAAUCUAUCAACAAGAAAAAAGGCUGAGUCACUUUAUCUACAAAACAAAAGACCUUCACCUUCAGGACAUGAUAGGAUUAGUCCUCACUCAAGAACCAAACUAGACAGGAACCACUCGGGUGGUUGUUGUUGUUUUUUUGUUUUUUUUUUAAUAUGAAGAUAUUUGUUAUUGAUGGGGGCAGAUGGUAAUUGAAGAUACCGAACAUACUGUUGGAAUUAGGAUGUGAUGUUACCCUAACAUGGGUGAUGGAGUUUACAAUCCAGCUGAAUGACAUUAUAGAAGAUAUUAUAUGGAUUACAAGCCUAAAGUCUUUUUAAGAGGAUUUUAUUUACAUAAGGGAAUAUUUUUUAGGGGAGUGGGCAGAAGAAUAAAGAUAUUAAGAUUUAUUAAGUAUGGUAGUCUUGUAGGAAAGUGGGUGGAGACAGGUUAGUUUAUUGAUUGUUUAGUUUAAGAAAAGGGAUAUUAUGUUUAGAUAUGAAUAUACGUAAAAGAUUUGAGUUAAGAGAUAUAACGAUGAGGGUGAAGGAAAUGGGUAGACGAUGAACUGAAUAAAUGUUAAAUUAGGAUUUAUUAUAUAGUUUUAUAGCGGAAGGUUGUUUUGAAAUGUUAGAUUAAUAUACAUAAAAGAUUUGAUUUAUUAUUAUGUUAAAUUAGGAGUUAUUAUAUAAUGUUAUAGUAGAAUGUCAUUUUGAAAUGUAUAGUAUAGGGGGGAUAUGAUAAUUUUAUUAGAAAUAAAGGGUCAGUAUGUGGGGAUGGAGUAAGGGGAUGGUAAAGUAUUAUAUAAUCUGUUAUGAAUUUGGGUUUUAUUAUG
Pantherophis guttatus is the source of this 4103-nucleotide long non-coding RNA. RefSeq lists it as uncharacterized. The record is from RefSeq and is a predicted model, not a curated record. NCBI's taxonomy places the organism in Eukaryota, Metazoa, Chordata, Lepidosauria, Squamata, Colubridae.